AUUGAACGCUGGCGGCAGGCCUAACACAUGCAAGUCGAACGAGUGGCGGACGGGUGAGUAAUGUCUGGGAAACUGCCUGAUGGAGGGGGAUAACUACUGGAAACGGUAGCUAAUACCGCAUACCAUCGGAUGUGCCCAGAUGGGAUUGGCUAGUAGGUGGGGUAACGGCUCACCUGGGCGACGAUCCCUAGCUGGUCUGAGAGGAUGACCAGCAAAACGGGAACUGAGCCAGGGCCCAGACUCCUACGGGAGGCAGCAGUGGGAAAUAUUGCACAAUGGGCGCAAGCCUGCUGCAGCCAUGCCGCGUGUAUGAAGAAGGCCUUCGGGUUGUAAAGUACUUUCAGCGGGGAGGCGUUACCCGAAGAAGAAGCACCGGCUAACUCCGUGCCAGCCGCCGCGGUAAUAC
RNAcentral lists this ribosomal RNA (406 nucleotides) under uncultured bacterium. RNAcentral describes it as "partial 16S ribosomal RNA". It matches the Rfam family "Bacterial small subunit ribosomal RNA", at positions 30 to 526 of the family's 1533-position model. The record is from RNAcentral.